UACGUAGGGUGCGAGCGUUAAUCGGAAUUACUGGGCGUAAAGCGUGCGCAGGCGGUUUCGUAAGACAGAUGGGAAAACCCCGGGCUUAACCUGGGAACUGCGUUUGUGACUGCGAGACUCGAGUGUGGCAGAGGGGGGUGGAAUUCCACGUGUAGCAGUGAAAUGCGUAGAGAUGUGGAGGAACACCGAUGGCGAAGGCAGCCCCCUGGGUUGACACUGACGCUCAUGCACGAAAGCGUGGGUAGCAAACAGG
RNAcentral lists this ribosomal RNA (253 nucleotides) under uncultured bacterium. Its description in RNAcentral is "partial 16S ribosomal RNA". It matches the Rfam family "Bacterial small subunit ribosomal RNA", at positions 524 to 776 of the family's 1533-position model. The record is from RNAcentral.